GACGAACGCUGGCGGCGUGCUUAACACAUGCAAGUCGAACGGUGAAGCGCCUUUCUUUUUGGUGGGUGUGGAUGAGUGGCGAAGGGGUGAGUAACACGUGAGUAACCUGCCUCCUGCUUCUGGAUAACCGCAUGAAAGUGUGGCUAAUACGGGAUAUUCUGGGUCUGUCGCAUGAUGGGUCUGGGAAAGAUAUUGUUUCGGUGGGGGAUGGGCUCGCGGUCUAUCAGCUUGUUGGUGGGGUGAUGGCCUACCAGGGCGGUGAUGGGUAGCCGGCCUGAGAGGGUGGACGGCCGCGCGGGGAGACAGACACGGUCAGGACUCCUAAGGGACGAAGCAGCUAGGGAUAGUACACGAUGGGCGCAAGGCUGAUGCAGCGCCGCCGCGUGGGGGAUGGAGGCCGUCGGGUUGUGAACCUCUUUGGGCAGUAAAGCAUGUCGGCCUCGUUUGUGGGUGGGUUGACGGUAGCUAGAGAAGAAGCGCCGGCUAACUACGUG
RNAcentral lists this ribosomal RNA (494 nucleotides) under uncultured bacterium. RNAcentral describes it as "partial 16S ribosomal RNA". It matches the Rfam family "Bacterial small subunit ribosomal RNA", at positions 28 to 507 of the family's 1533-position model. The record is from RNAcentral.